RNAcentral lists this ribosomal RNA (253 nucleotides) under uncultured bacterium. Its description in RNAcentral is "partial 16S ribosomal RNA". It matches the Rfam family "Bacterial small subunit ribosomal RNA", at positions 524 to 776 of the family's 1533-position model. The record is from RNAcentral.
UACGGGGGGGGCAAGCGUUGUUCGGAAUUACUGGGCGUAAAGGGCUCGUAGGCGGCUCGUUAAGUCAGACGUGAAAGCCCUCGGCUUAACCGGGGAACGGCGUCUGAGACUGGCAAGCUUGAAUCCGGGAGAGGGAUGCGGAAUUCCAGGUGUAGCGGUGAAAUGCGUAGAUAUCUGGAGGAACACCGGUGGCGAAGGCGGCAUCCUGGACCGGUAUUGACGCUGAUGCGCGAAAGCCAGGGGAGCAAACGGG